Molecule: ribosomal RNA, 659 nt
Filed under: uncultured bacterium
Lineage: Bacteria
Description: bacterial SSU rRNA
Rfam family: Bacterial small subunit ribosomal RNA
Source: RNAcentral
GAGCGGCGGACGGCUGAGUAACGCGUGGGAACGUGCCCCAAAGUGAGGAAUAACUGCCCGAAAGGGUAGCUAAUGCCGCAUAUGAUCUUCGGAUUAAAGUCUUCGGACGCUUUGGGAGCGGCCCGCGUCGGAUUAGGUUGUUGGUGAGGUAAUGGCUCACCAAGCCGACGAUCCGUAGCUGGUCUGAGAGGAUGAUCAGCCAGACUGGAACUGAGACACGGUCCAGACUCCUACGGGAGGCAGCAGUGAGGAAUCUUCCACAAUGGGCGAAAGCCUGAUGGAGCAACGCCGCGUGCAGGAUGAAGGCCUUCGGGUCGUAAACUGCUUUUAUAAGUGAAGAAUAUGACGGUAACUUAUGAAUAAGCACCGGCUAACUACGUGCCAGCAGCCGCGGUCAUACGUAGGGUGCAAGCAUUAUCCGGAGUGACUGGGCGUAAAGAGUUGCGUAGGUGGUUUGUUAAGCGAGUAGUGAAAGCCGACGGCUCAACCGUACGGAUUAUUAUUCGAACUGGCAAACUCGAGAAUGGUAGAGGUAACUGGAAUUUCUUGUGUAGGAGUGAAAUCCGUAGAUAUAAGAAGGGACACCAAUGGCGUAGGCAGGUUACUGGACCAUUUCUGACACUAAGGCACGAAAGCGUGGGGAGCGAACGGGAUUAGAU